GGGAGGACGGGGGGGGGAGCGGCGAUGGGACCCAUAAGUGUGGGGCGGGGGGUGCCCGAAUGGCUGCCCGUAAAGGCGCAGCGAAGCGCGGAACUGUGGGGCAAAAAGGUCCCCGAGUGGCCCCGGUGAGCCCACGGAGAGCCCCAUAAGUGUGGGGCGGGAGGAGCCCGGGUGGCGCACAUCAACCCACGGCAGAGCCCACAGGUGUGGGGCAGAAGGUCCCCAAGAGGCCCCCGUGAGCCCAUAGGAAACCCCACAAGUGUGGGGCAGCAGCUCUCCAAGUGACCCCCGUGAGCCCAUAGGGAACCCCAUAAGUGUGGGGCAGCAGCUCUCCAAGUGACCCCCAUAAACCCUGGGAAACCCCAUAAAUGUGGGGCAGAACAUCUCCAACAGACCCCCACGAACCCACAGCAAUCCCCAUAAGUGUGGGGCAGAAGGUCCCCAGGUGACCCCUAUGAGCCCACAUGGAACCCCACAGAUGUGGGGCAGAAGAUCUCCAAUUGACCCCAGUGGGCUCACGGUGAACCCCAUAAGUGUGGGGCAGGCGGUCCCCAAGUGAUCCCCCAUAUCCUGCCCAGUACCCCCCAGUAUCCCACCCCCAUAUCUCCCAGUAUCCUCCAAUAUCUUCCAGUAUCCCCCACUAUCCCCCAAUAUCUCCCAGUAUCCCCCAGUUUCCCUCAUUAUCUCCCAGUACCCCCCAGUAUCCCCCAGUAUCCCUCAUUAUCUCCCAGUAUCUCCCAGUAUCCCCCAGUAUCCCCCAUUAUCUCCCAGUAUCCCACCCCAGUAUCUCUCAAUAUCUCCCAAUAUCUCCCAGUAUCCCACCCCAGUAUCUCCCAGUAUCCCCCAAUAUCUUCCAGUAUCCCCCAGUACCCUCAAUAUCUCCCAGUAUCCCACCCCAAUAUCCCCAGUAUCCCCCAGUAUCUCCCAAUAUCUCCCA
Molecule: long non-coding RNA, 937 nt
Filed under: Gallus gallus (chicken)
Lineage: Eukaryota; Metazoa; Chordata; Aves; Galliformes; Phasianidae
Description: lncRNA (ENSGALG00010028804.1)
Source: RNAcentral